RNAcentral lists this signal recognition particle RNA (148 nucleotides) under Pan troglodytes (chimpanzee). Its description in RNAcentral is "Metazoan signal recognition particle RNA". It matches the Rfam family "Metazoan signal recognition particle RNA". Rfam says of the family: The signal recognition particle (SRP) is a universally conserved ribonucleoprotein. It is involved in the co-translational targeting of proteins to membranes. The record is from Rfam by way of RNAcentral. Lineage: Eukaryota; Metazoa; Chordata; Mammalia; Primates; Hominidae.
GCUGGGCGUGGUGGCACACGCCUGUAAUCCCAGCUACUCAGGAGGCUGAGGCAGGAGAAUUGCUUGAGCCUGGGAGGCGGAGGUUGCAGUGAGCCGAGAUCGUGCCACUGCACUCCAGCCUGGGCAACAGAGCGAGACUCUGUCUCAA